CAGGUUGACGUAGAUGGUGUGAAAUUGUCAAAUUGAAUUGCAAAAAUGGAUCUAGAUCAGAGUUUUCUGUCUGAAUUACCCCUUCAGCACCGACAGAAAGUUUGCCGGCAGAUCCGGCAGAAACAGAUAGAAAAGUACUUUGAAUUCGAAAAGUCAGACAGGGGACGAGAAUUGUUGCCAAGGAAGCAAGAAAAACGAAAUGUGCAUUUCUCACAGGCUUUGACCCUGCAAGUUGCAGUGGAUAACUUUGAUGAUAGGGAAGUUGCAAAAUGUCUUGACAAUGGUUGUGAUCCUAACUUUACCACUGGUAAUGGGACCUCCUUGCUACAUAGGUGUGCAGCAGAAGACAAUGUUAGCGCAGCUGAACUGUUGAUAUCUCAUGGAGCAGACGUGAAUUUACAUGAUGAUGAUUGGUGGACACCACUACACACAGCGUGCUCAUGUGACUGUCCUGAAAUAGCAAACCUGCUUGUUAAUAAUGGAGCUGAUCUAGCUGCUAUAGAUGUUGAUGGUUAUUUUCCUUUAGAUCAGGCAGCAGAAGGGUCAGAGGUCAGGGCAGUGAUGACCAAACACAUGGAAAAUAAAGGGUUAACAGAGAGAGUUCUACAUGAGAACAGGCAGUUGCGACCAAAAGAGUUUUUAAACUAUAUAAAAAGUUUACCACUUGCUGUUGAUGUCAACAUGUUAAACAAAGAUGGAGUGUCCCUGCUUCAUAUAGCAGCAGCAAAUGGCUACAGAAAUUGUAUGAAAGCUUUAUUCAGGUACAAUGCUGAUGUGAACAGGCUGGAUAACUAUGGUUGGACACCCCUUCAUGUUGCUGCAAGGUUUAAUCAGGAAAGAUCAGUUAUACUGUUGUUGAAGCAGAAGGCCAAUCCAAACCAGGAGGACCUGCUUGGGUGCAAGCCAUCAGCUGUAACAAGCUCCGAUAAAAUCAGAGGGAUUCUCAUGAAGUGUGAAAGAAAAAUGCAGCAGAAAGGUCAACAAGAAAAUGGACCUGUGUAUUUAGAACUAGAUGGCGGGGAUGAUGAAGAUACAGAUGACAAUGUUUAUCAUGAGAUUCAUGACAGUGAGGUAGGGAAAGGCAGAGAAGAUUCACAACUUGUUGGCAUUUUCAGGAUAAAUAGUAAAACUGUUCGAACAAAACAUGUGACAAUAUCAAAGGAAGAUGAGUUACAAGAAGCCAAACAGAUGUAUGAACACAUAGCAGAAUUCAGCAGUGGAGAUGUAAGUGCAACUGCUGCUACUGCUGAGGCUGUUGAGAAAGAUGAUAACAAAGAUGAUGAAGGUGACUAUGUUUCCAUGGCAAUCUGGAAAUCAGCUAGUAAAGAACAGGGAGAUCUCGUUCCAUGUAUGGAUGGCGAUAACUUAGUGACAGUGACUCUGGUCAAAGAUGAUUCAAUACUAACUGAAAUACAGAGAAGAUACAACAGCAAACAGAUAUAUACACUAAUUGGGGAUGUACUUGUUGCUGUGAAUCCAUUCCAGACCUUGCCAUGCUAUGCCAAAGAUAUAUCAUUACAGUACCAUACUGCCACUUUAGAAACCAAAUUGCCUCCACAUAUAUACCACAUUGCUGAGAAAUCAUACAAACGACUUUUGUACAAUAAGAAAUCACAGUGUCAUGUGAUAUCGGGAGAGAGUGGUGCAGGCAAAUCUGAAUCAUGUAAAUACAUUAUACAGCAUCUCUUACGUGUUGCUGGUAGUGAAGAAACAAAUUUAAACUCAAAAGUUAAUCAGGUGAAUCCAUUGCUGGAAGCAUUUGGUAACGCUGUGACGGUGAUGAACAACAAUUCCAGUAGAUUUGGCAAGUACGUGGAACUAAAUUUUACAAAGGAGGGAAAAGUUUGUGGAGCAAAGAUCUCGGAGUAUUUACUGGAGAAGUCCAGAAUAGUACUUCAAGGUAAAGGGGAGCAGAAUUUCCACAUUUUCUACUGGAUGAUGGCAGGCUUGUCACACGAAGAGAUCAGUCUUUACAAACUAGAGAAAAUGAAUCAAUUCAGGUAUUUGAAAUCUAGCCUUCCAACUGACCAGUCUGCUUCAGAGAACAAAGCCAAGUUCUGGGAAGUGAAGGAAUGUUUGAAAUAUAUUGGCUUCACCUCAGCAGAUAUACAGAACGUACUGAAGACAUUGUCAAUUGUUUUACAUCUCGGGGAGAUUGAGUUCCAUGGUGUGGGGAACAAUGAGGCAGCACAGGUGCGAAAUACUGACAUGUUGACUACAGUGUCAGAGAUGCUGGAUGUUUCUGCAGAAGAGUUGAGAUCUGCCUUGGUUGCUGAUUACACUGUGACUAGAGGAGAGCAGAUAAAGAAAGAAAGAACAGUUCAACAGGCUAUAGACUGUCGUGAUGCGCUUGCCAAAGCUCUCUAUGCACGAUUGUUUAGCUGGAUUGUGAAUGGCAUAAACCAACUUAUACAACCUGUAUAUGAACAUGGAAUACAGUCUGUCUGUGAACAUGGAGAGGACCUGCAGCUUGGUAUCCUUGACAUAUUUGGAUUUGAAAAUUUUCCUCACAAUAGCUUUGAGCAGAUAUGUAUAAAUGUAGCCAAUGAGCAGAUCCAGCAGUACACCAAUGAUAAUAUAUUCCAAAAUGAGCAGGAAGACUGUUUGUUAGAGGGUGUGCCAUUGGUUGACUUGGAUUAUAACAACAACCAGGCCAUAUUGAAUGUCUUCUUUGAGAAACACACAGGUUUAUUGGCCAUUCUAGAUGAGGAGAGCAGCUUCCCAAAAGCUACAGACAAAUCCUUGGCUACUAAACUUCAUCAAAACACAGGAAAGAAACAUCCAGGUUGUUAUAAGACACCGAGAGAUGGGGGUUUGUGUUUCACAGUGGUGCAUUAUGCAGGAAGUGUCAUGUAUGAUGUCACAGGAAUGUUGGAGAAAAAUAGAGAUACACUGCCAAACAGUAUUCUAUACACCAUGAAAACUAGUAACCAGCUUCUCAUCAAAGAAUUAUUCCAGUCCCGGAUCACACGGACUGGUUCUCUAGCACCAAGCGCAAGACAGCAGCGGAAUAGCAGAAGAACCAAGAAGAAAUCCUCGUCACCAUUUGAGUUCUUCAAGAAAUUCAAGGCCAAUAAUAAAGAGGCAAAGAAGGCACCAAAGAAUGUCAGUGUGGAGAAAAAAGGUGCUUCUACCAUGGCCUUCCACUUCAGAAAUUCCCUUAGUGACCUUAUCAGCAAGCUACAAGUGUCCAGUCCACACUUUGUCCGAUGUAUAAAACCCAAUACAACCAAGUCUGCCUUCAUGUUUGUCCCGGAAUAUGUUCUCGCACAGCUACGGUAUACAGGAAUAUCGGAAAUAGUAAAGAUCAGGAAAUUUGGAUAUGCACUACGGCUGCCAUUUUAUGACUUCUUGAAUAGGUUUCAUGUAUUGGUGAAAUGUUGUCUACCAGCAUUUUGUCCUCUGACAGACAUUCAGAAAUGUGAGGAAGUUGUCAGAAUAUAUGGGCUAGAGCAUGUCCAGUUUGGAAGAACGAAGCUGUUUCUGAAGAGUGAACAUGUCGACAAACUUGAUAACUUGACCGCUGACCUUGAAAGGAAGGUCACUACAGCACAAGCAGUUGUACGAGGAUUUUUGGGAAGACAGAAAUCAAGAAGACUGUCUGCAGCAAGAGAUGAAGAACUUAAACGUAGUGCUUUGGUCCUGAAAAAUGACCAAGCUGAGCAGGCUGCCAAGUCUUUAAGUAGUCUAGAGGAGAUAAUCAGUGACUACGAUGAUGCUUUCACAGUAAAACGAGAAACUGCUGUCACUGCUGAUGAUGAUGAUGAAUACUUGUAUGAUGAUGCUUUUAGCGUUCAGCAGCAUGCAACAGGAGACAAGUCUGGUGAAGAAGACAACAUGAAUGGACAUUUACAGAGAGGCUUACCCCCAACCCCUACACAUGGAAUGCAUUAUGACCCUUCACGACCCCCACCUCCACCCAAGGAGAUGUACUCUCAGGGGAUGUAUGCUAGCAUAGAGGAUCAGGGCUAUCUUGAAUAUAGAAAGCAAGCCCCUCCUCCUCCAAAACGUGAUCCAGGAACCAGGCUGAGUACGUCUUCGACAGGAACUUACGAGGAAAUCCAUGUUACAGAAUCUUAUACCCAUCACCAGCAUGGUCAUCAUCAACAGUCACACAGUUACGGGAGCCAGUCCCCAAUGCAUUCACCCCACAGUUCCCCAGCACAUCACCCAGGAUAUCACCAGCAACCACAAAGUUAUGGGAACCAGUCACCAGUUCAUAUGGUCCAUGGUUCCCCUGCACAUCAUACUGGUUAUUAUCAGCAACAGCAGAACAGUGGGAAUCAGUCAGAUAGACACACAACUCACGGUUCUCCAGUUUUAAAGUCAAGAGCUGGACAUGAGCCCCAGAGCCCGAGUUCGGCAGGAAGUCGACCAUUUUCUUAUGGUGCUGCAAUUUUAUCACAAAAACUACAUCAUGUGACAGACCAAAAUGUGAAUCAAAAUAUUCCCUCUGGUACACAAAAUGGACACAGUCAACAAAAUGUGCCAAAUCUUUCGAACUAUCAGUACAGUGAUCAAGGUGGAAGUAGUCCAGUGAUGAAUUAUGGGAAACAUGAAUCAGCAUUUCAUCCACAAUCACACAGGCCACCACCCUGUGGGCCUCCACCUCCAGUACCGCCAGAUCAUCCAAGUCAAGGUCAUAGAGUGGCAGCCCCACAGCCACAUUAUCCACAGAGCCCAAAAAUACAAAGACAGUCAUCUAUUCAAGGUAGUGUUCAUAAAUCAAAUUUUCCUGGAUCACCAAAACUUGCACAAAAAUUAUCACAGAGAAGUAAAUCGGUUCCAUGCAAUCCAGAGGAGGAUUUACUUCCUGCACCACCCCCACCUCUUACAGUGAGAGAAAAUUACAUGGCUGCAGCCCAGCACACCAACAGAACUCCUUCCCCACCUUUACCCCCUCCCCCGCCAGAAUUGCUCACAGAUCUUCCACCUCCGUCACCACCGCCACCACACCCAGCGAUGCUCGGUAAUGUGCCUCAUAUGAUGGAGCCUGUUGUAAAUCAAAGUCUUCCGAAUUCUGCAGUAUCCAUGUCGCCACGACAUCAACCUGCAGCCCCUGCUGCCCCGCCACCUCCACCGCCAGUGUCAUCGAUUCCAAAGAAGCAAGGAGUUGCAAGCAAUCAAGAGGGACCAAGACCAAGAAUGGCAUUACCUAAUGAGAAUGCAGGAAGCUAUUCUCCAGAACCAACCAGAGGGCACAAUUUACAAUCAGUGGCGCCACCUAGAAAAGAGUCUUCUCCAGAUCAAGCUGCUCUUAUACAACAGAUAAACAAGGUUCAGUUAAAGAGAACAGAGAGUCUGUCACAUGAGACGGAAGGGGAGAGAACUAGCUCAAGUCCUAAAACAGGAAUGGUAGAGUUAUCUGCAGUGAAGCUGAGACAGACAUCUGCUAGAAUCAAGUUACUGGAGAAAGAUGGAAUAAAGGCAACCAGUGAGGAACCAGUGCCAGAACCUCUCCCAGUACCACAAGAAGAGGCCCCACCUCCACCUGCAGUUUCCCAACCUCCCCCUGCGGAACCUCAGCAACUGACACAGGUGACGCCUGCUGUGUCCAUGUUUGAGAAGAAAGUCGAGAUGAUAGCAAAGGGAGAUCAGCGCAUUAGGAGAAAAGGUGAUACUUCAAACGAUUCCACAAUGGAUAUUAGCAUAGAUAACAUAGAUCUCAAUGAUGUACCGGGAUAUACUCCAAUCACAAGAAGUACACCAGUCUGGAAAAGAGACAUGAUUGAAAAGAAAAACCAGGAGAAAAUACAAGAAUAUAUUGAAGAAAAACGAAGAGAGAAAGAAGAGGCAGAGAAAUGGAAGAAUGUGCCAGCAUGGAAGAGAAAGUUGAUGAUGGAGAAACAGAAAGAACAAUCACAGAAAUCAAAAGAGGAACGGGAAAAGGCUGCUGAGGAGGAAGCUAAUAAGAAAAGACGGGAAAGGCAGGCAGAAGAAGCGCGAAAAGCAAAGAUUCGCGAGCAACAGGAGAUGGAGAAAAAAAUGGAUGAAGAAUUACAGGAUGUUCCUGCGUGGAAAAGAGAGAUUAUGAUGAAACGAGGCGGAGCUAUCAAGAACUGGGCAGAUGAGCGGGAGGAUCUUAAUGAACAGGUGGAUAAAUAAUUCCUGCCUGUUGUGUUCGUAAUGUUACUAGGGUGUGCGGUGUGUCAUGUUUUGUGUAUGACAAUCGUUGAUUGGUGCUGGAAUAACUGCAUGAUUUGUACAAUUUUUGCUUGAUUUCAUUUAUUUUUCCAUUUGUUCAUCUGAAGUAAGAAAAUUUAUGACCUGUUACAAAGUCAUUAGUAGCCCACCUACUUAGCUCAAUAAGGAGAGCGCAGAUCUUCAGAUAACGGGGUCAUGAGUAUAAUUCUUAGGCAAGAUGUAUGUUCCUGAUGAAUUGACAAAAGACAUAUUUUCUGAAAUGAUUUGUCAUCCAUCUCUGAUUCAUGUAGAUAAGUUGGAAGUUACUUGAAGAGAGCAAGUUUGUACUUGUACAAAAUCCAGGAACACUGGUUAGGUUAACUGCCACUUGUUACAUAACUGAAAUACUGUUGGGAAAAGGCACUAAAUACCGAGAUGUCAUUCUCAAAGGUUUGGGAGAAUAAUUCCAUUUUGUGAAAGUACUGUUUUAAGUAUUGUUUAUGCAUGUGUAGUUUUUGUUUACAAUACCAGUACCAAAAAUAUAGAAUAUGAAAUUAUUUAGAUUUAAAUAGCAGUAUAAGUUUGUGAUUUGAAUUUUGCAUGAGUAAGAUUCACCAAUUGUAAUAAGUACAUUACAUGUAUAUACAGGAAGUAUUAUCAUUUAAUCAUAACAGUUUAUACUGAUUGUUUUUGGUCACUGUUUCUUUUUACAUGUUUAAACAAGAGCAUGCAUUUUAUAUAAGCUAUGAUACAUGUUCCCCAUUACAAGCAUUUGUUAAUACACUGCAUUUGUUGGUAUUAAAAAUUAACAAUAAGUUAUAGAUGUAAGCUGUUUAGUGCAAUGUGUAGUAUUGAUAAUCUUACUUUUGUUUUCAUUAGUUUCUUAAAAACUUAGGGAGAGCAUUUGGAUCACAGUAUGAAAAUCCAGUUGCAUAUUCAGGUUAUAUCAAACUUUGGUGGGAUCUUCCUGGACCAUCAAAAGCAGAUGAGUCACCACAUUACACCCUUUUAAAUCCAACAAAGCAAACAACAAAUCAUGGCUCCUUUUAAGAUGUAACAUUGAUUGCCAAACAAUAUGUCUGAGAUUUUGAAAUGUUGGAGUUACAAGACCCUAGCAUGUGAUUGGUUGUUUCAAUGCAAGACUUUAAAAUAGACCAAUGGAAAGCUUGCAUCCCAAGACUGUUUGCAAUUUUGGAGCUUGGUUUGUAUCCAGAAGUGAUAUUUACUGUCAUGUUAGAUAUUUUUGCAUGACCUUGAUAAUCCGUGAAAUCUGAAAAGAGUCUGACAACAUGAGGUUUAAUCUUUUCUUAAGUCAUAAGUUUUUGCCAUAUUAUUAUACAGUGAUCUAAAUUCAAACUUUCCCAAGAACUAACUUUUUGAAAAAAAAACUUGAAUCAGUAGAAGUUAAUCCCUUGUGAAUAUUUCAGAUUUCAUAGUGUGUUAUUCUCAGAUCCUCUGUUUAUUACACAUCCAUUAUCAUUUUUGUAGUGGAAAUUCAGAAAAUUUCUUUUGAAAUGUGGCCAACAGUCUAAAAUUCCUGAACGGUUACAGUACCCGGUUGGUGAAAUACCUCUUGAACUUUGAAGUGAUCUUUAAUCCUUUAAUUUUAGCAUUAUAAGAUUGAGAAAGAUGGAUGCCAUUUUAGAAACAAACCAAUAAAACAUUUCCUUGAAAUGCAAGUGAGAUAUAAAUUUGAAACCCAUAUAAACACUAGGAAUUUAUACCUGUAUGUUACAUGUGCAUGAUACCUGUGAAAAUUAUUUAACUGCAUGUUUUGUUUUAUCAGUAAUAAGCAAACUGUGCCAAAACAAAGGGUUCCAGUCUUGAUGUUUGCUAAAUACCUAGGUAUGCAGAGAACUGUUUUAUAUCAUAAGCUGGUCCAAUUGGCAGGUAUAUAUGUAGUUAGACAGUAGCUAUUGUAGACUGAAAAGCUGGACAUGAAUUCAGCAAAGAUUUUAUGAUUAAUCUAAUUUUGCAGUGUAUUUUCUUAGAUUGGAAGAAAUUAAAUUUCCAAGUAAUUUCCAAAGAUUUGAUAGAAUUGAUACAUUCAAAUCAAAACAAUAUUCAAGGAUUUGCUCCGCAGUUAAUGCCUUAUUACAUUAUAUUAUAUUUUUAGAUGCUAGGUUUUUAGCUCGACUAUUCAUAGAAUAGUGAGCUAUUGCACUCGCCCAUGCGUCGGCGUCCACGUCCGCGUCCGCGUCCCGAUUUUGGUUAAGGUUUUGUAAGCUGGUAUCUCAGUAACCACUUGUGGGAAUGGAUUGAAACUUCACACACUUAUUCACUGUGACAAACUGACUUACAUUGCACAGGUUCCAUAACUCUAUUUUGCUUUUUUACAAAAUUAUGCCCCUUUUUCGACUUAGAAAUUUUUGGUUAAGGUUUUGUAUGUAAGCUGGUAACUCAGUAACCACUUGUGGGAAUGGAUUGAAACUUCACACACUUAUUCACUGUGAUGAACUGAUCUACCUUGCACAGGUUCCAUAACUCUAUUUUGCUUUUUUACAAAAUUAUGCCCCUUUUUCGACUUAGAAAUUUUUGGUUAAGGUUUUGUAUGUAAGCUGGUAUCUCAGUACUUACUAAUGGGAAUGGAUUGAAACUUCACAUACUUGUUCACUAUCAUGAUCUGACAUGCACUAAGCAAGUCCCAUAACUCUACUCUCUCUUUUUUCAAAAUUAUGCCCCUUUUUCGACUUAGCAGUUUUUGGUUAAAUUUUUGUAUGUAAUCUGAUAUCUCAGUAUCCACUUAUUGGAAUGGAUUGAAACUUCACACACUUGUUCACUGUCAUGAUCUAACAUGCACUGUGAAGGUCCCAUAACUCUACUUGGCAUUUUUACAAAAUUAUGCCCCUUGACUUAGCAGUUUUUUGUUAAGUUUUUGUAUGUAAGCUGGUAUCUCAGUAUCCACAAAUUGGAAAGGAUUGAAACUUCACACACUUGUUCACUGUCAUGAUAUGACAUGCAGUACAGAGGUUCAAUACCUCUACUUUGCAUUUUACAAAAUUAUGCCCCUUUUUCAACUUUUGUAUUCAUUCAAUUGACAAGGCUGUUGAAUAGUCGAGCGUUGCUGUCCUCCGACAGCUCUUGUUUUAUAUUAAAUCUCAUAGGGCAGUAACUUCUCAUUUUUAAAUUGACAUAAUGCCUUUCUUUGGUUAAAAUAAAAUGUAUAAAUCAGUGUGUUUAUUUUUGAGAUAUUUGCCCAUGAUUGAAGAGAUCUGCUAAAUUCAAGAUAUCUUGAUUUUUUGACCUAAUUAGGAUUUAGUGUUGGUCUUACAUUUUAAUAUUAAGAAAGACAGAAACAGUAAACACAAACGUUGCCAUUGAUCCAUGGUUUGAUUUACAUUUCUGUAUACUGGAUCCAGGCUGUAUUCCGUUUUUGGAUAAAUGUUACGCCAUUUUGUUACGUUUUCCAAACAUGUAGAACUUGCAUAGUACCCAUGUAUAAUGCGCAGUUUUUUUACCCCCGGGACCACCCCCGAAUCGUGGGUGCGCAUAAUACACAGGUAUAGACAAUUUUCCAACUUCAAAACAAGUUUGUUACCGAUGUUCGCCAUUUUGGUAAAGGGAAACUACUCCCCGCGCUUACUGUCUCCGCUAAAAUCUAAGAUUGCCGUUACGUUCCGUAAAAGAUCGAAUUGUUUAUUUUUCUUUCAAACAAAAUUAAUUUCAUAUAAAUUUAAAAGUAUUUUGACGAAAGAAAUGUUUACAAAUCACAAAAAUUAUGAUACUAAUUAAAGAUCGAGAAUUAUCUUUAACCGAGAUCAAACUGUAAACAAUAAUUGACACUAGGUGACACGUUAAUUGCCGGUAAUUACUGGCUUUAUGAUCGUGACAAAAAGACUAUCACACCUUUUGUUAUCUGUUUGAAUUGAGAAGCUCAUGUCAUUUUGAAAGAUACCAUUCCGAAAUAUUGAAUCAGCUGCUAUUUAUUUAUUCAAAAUAGUGAAUUAAAAAAGGUAAAACAACAAACAUAACAAUAAUUUACUGGUUUUAUUUUCGAGAAAACAAAAAUCGAUAGUACCGUGAGACCGAUGCUGCUCUCCGCCGCGGAGAUAAAAUUUAUUACUGGUGUCGAUGUAAACUCUACUUUCGUUUUCCAUCCACCUCAAAAUUGACCAAAAUUUUUUUUUUCCCCAGGAUUUUGGACUAAGAUCGGGGGUGCGCAUUAUACACGGGUGCGCAUUAUACAUGGGUAUCUACGGUAUGCCCUAAAAGUCAUAGCAUAGAAAUUCUCCACUAUUUUUGAUAUGAUCUUAAAUUUUUUCAGCUCUUUUUUGAUAUGUUUUUAAUUUUAUAGGACUGAUAUACUCUACUGUUUUUAGGGAACUGUAAAUGAUAUAAGGCAAAUGCUCUCUGCUGUUUUUGAUAUGCUGUUUGUUAUAGGGCUAAAAUUCUCCACUGUUUUUGAUAUGUUGUUAAUUUCAUAAGGCUGAUAUUUUCUGCUGUUUAUUAAUUUUGCUAAGACAUAAGACAGAAUAAACUUUAACUGUCUACUGUACUUGAUAUUCUGUAUCUUAGAUAUGCUGUAAAUGAUAUAGGCACUUCAUACAUGCUCUGUGUCAUGGCAAAUACUCUACUGUUUUGAUAUAACAUAUUAUACAUUCAUCUGUUUUAAAAUUUUCUCCACUUUAUUUGAACUACAGUAAAAUAAUAGGGUAGUUUUUCCACUGUAUUUUAAAUGUUUUUAAGAACUUUUUUUUGCCCCACAUUUAUGUUGUGGGGGUGCAUAUAGCAAUGCUGCUGUCCGUACAUCCAUCUGUACAUCCUGAAAUCUUGUUUGUCCAGCUCCUCCCACACUAUUAGCCUGAUUUGCUUCAAACUUCAACUGAUGAACAGACUUGAUAUGCAGAUUACUCUAAAGGAAGGAACUUUUGUUGUGACUAUUUUUACUGCAGUUAUGGCCCUUUGAUAGUUUUGCUAUCUAGAACAUAGAGAAAAAAUGCUAUCUUGUGUGUCCAACUCCUCAAACACUAUUGAAAGGAUUCACAGAUGAAGGACCUUGAUGUGAAGAUGACCAUAGAUAAUGAACUUUUAUUUAUGUGGCUAUUUUUUGUAGAAUUAUGCCAUUUCUUAAUUUCACAAAAUGGGCCAUAGUGAAGAAAUCUGGUGUGUUCAACUCCUCACACUUGUUGAAUGGAUUCAAAGUUGCCCAGAUGCACUACCUUAUCUGAAUACAAUUGGCUUCAAACUUUCAGUCAAUCGUCCUUCAUGUGAAGAUGGUCUGUACUAAAAACUUUACUAUUUAGAGGAUAGCACAGUAUGUGGGGGCAUCCGUCUUCUAUACACAGAAUUCUAGUUUAUUUCUUUAUAACAGUAUACACAAGAUAUGCUUGUAUUGAAGUUUUUCAGAAUGUUUAAAAAAAGUUUUACCAAUCUUGAUAUAGAAUAUACUUAGGUUAUUUUCCCAUUUAUUAUAUAGUUAUUUUGUAGUAUGUUUAAGAUAUAGUUUAUUACAGAAAGUAUUAGUUUUGCUAUGGUGUAAAUAGAUCAAAAAAGUAUUCAGAUAUAAUAUUCAGCCUUUUGCUAUAGAUAUUUAACAGAGGACAACUUUUGUUGUUCAGCUUCUUUUGUAAAAUACUCCUUUUUUAAGUGCAAUAUGUUACAAUGUAUAUACUCCAGUAUUUGUUUUGUUAGACUGGUGCAGUAUUAAUGGAAAAAAAACUAGACUUAAGUUGCAUUUUGAAAUUAAAAGUUAAUAUUUCAACAUAAAACUGGACUGCUUCUAUGCUACAAGUGAUACAGGUCAGUCUGGGUCUUUUAAAAAAAAUAAGUUUUGAUAAAGAUAGGUCAAUGUCAAAUUUUGAUAAACUGAGAUUAAUUCGGAUCACAUUUUGAUAUUUAUGGUAAUAAUACUCCUUUUCAGUAUAAGGAACGUUAAUGUAAUUAAGAUUCAGUUGCAUUUAUUAUUCUUUUUGUUUGUUUUUACCAACUACUUACAGAACUAUUUCUGUAUGCAGAUUAUGCCUGCUAACCCUGAUAGCUGUAAAUACCUUUAUGUUGGUUAUGCUUUAUGUUGAUAAUUAAAUACUGUAUGGUUUGAGGAAAUUGAUUGUGUAGCAUGCAGUUUGUGGUAGCAACUAAUCUGUACAUUGGCAAUACUUUUACUCCUUUAGCUGCUACAUAGAUCUGCAUUAAAGUCAUAUAAGAGGGCUUUAUAUUCUAUUGUGUCACUGGCAACAUUCCUUUGUGUGUUGAUUACAAUAUUGUGGUAAAAAUGCCGAACGUUUUUGUUUACAUUUUAUAUUUGUGUCAUUAAACAUUGAAAUAUUAUAGUUACUGUUUGAUCCACUUGAUUUGUAGCAGGGUUUAUUGCAUAUUGUAGCAUUAUUUCGCAAGAUUCAGUCGUGUACUAUACAUCAUUCUAAAGAUAUCUGAUUUAGGUAGUAGGGUCUUUCUGAAUUUUUAUGCCCCCACCCCCACCCCCGCAUCACACUUUGAAGAAGAGAGGGUAUAUUGUUUUGCUUGUUUAUCAUCAGUCUGUAGGUAGCUAGACCAUUUGGUUUCUGAUCAAUAACUAGAGAGUGCUUGGUCUUACAGUGGUCAAACUUUAUUGGAUGGUUGUCUGUGGCCAGUAAAUGGCCCCUGUUGUUUUUGGGAUCAGUAGGUCAAGGUCACAUUGGCAUUGAGAGAGAAAAUAAUUUCUGCUCAGUAAUUAAAAAACCAUUGGCAUACUGCCUUCAGACUUCAUACAGGGAUGGUUGCUGUGGUCAGUAGGUCAAAGGUGAAGGUCACAAUGACACUGAGACUGAAGACAGUGUCAGCUGAGUUUAUAAAUUACCUGUAGUCAGGAGAUCACCUUUAUUUUGGGUCAUAAGGUCGAAGGGCAAGGCCAUAGUGACUUCUGAACUGAAACUAGAACAUACCAUCAUUGGGGGAAUAUGUGUUUUACAGACAACUCUUGUUAAAAGUGUUUUAAAGAAAGAUUGUUUAAAUGUUAAUUCACAAUUUUGAAAAAGAAAAAAAAAUAGAUUGGUUACAAUUAACAGUAAAUUCUAAAUUAACAAAGAGUUCUUUUAACCCUUAUUAUGCUGGACAUUGGGUUUGCCUUGGUGGUCAGUGUAGAUCAUGAUCAGCGUGCACAUUCGUGCAGUCUGAUCAAGAUCUGCACUGUUCGCCAUUUAGUCAGUAUCUUUUUGGUAAGUACCCCUUUUAACUGUUAAUGGUACUGUCUAAAUUGAAAGAUGGACAAGUUCAUUAUAGAAAUUUAGCAGGGUAGGGGUUAAAUGAUGUAUAAAGUCAAUGACACUCUUACACAGGAAAACCCUUACUUAAGAAAAGCUGGAUUAAACAGUAACUUCAAUUAAAUUUACAUUUUAACACAAGAUUUUUAUACUCGAGAGAGAGAGAGAGAGAGCUAAGUUCAGAUUUGUGAAGGGUACUAAAUUAUAAUUGUAUAUAUUUGUCUGUGAUGAAUUUAAAGUCACAGUAGUGUUCAAAAUCAGGAAUUGUUCUCAUUGCAAAAUGAGGAAAAGGCUCUUCUUACAAAAUGAGAAAGAGGUUCUCCUUACAAAAUGAGGUAGAAUUUCUCCUUAUAAAUUGAAAUAGCAGUUCUCCUUUCAAAAUGAGGUAGAAUUUCUCUUUACAAAAUGAGGUAGAUGUUCUUACAAAAUGAGGUAGAAUUUCUCCUUACAAAAUGAGGGAGAAGUUUUCCUUACAAAAUGAGGUAAAAUUUCACCUUGCAAAAUGAGGGAGAAGUUUUCCUUACAAAAUGACAUAGAAUUUCUCCUUGCAAAAUGAGGUAGAAUUUCUCCUUACAAAAUGACGUAGAAUUUCUCCUUACAAAAUGACGUAGAAUUUCUCCUUACAAAAUGACGUAGAAGUUCUCCUUACAAAUUUAGAAAAAGUUCACGUUACAAAAUGAGGUAAAAGUUCUCUUUACAAAAGAAAUUGAAGUUCUUACAAAAUGAAAAGAAGUUCCUUACAAAAUGAGGUAAAAGUUCUCCUUACAAAAUGAAAUUGAAGUUUUAACAAAAUGAGAUAGAAGGUCUUCUUAUGAAAUGAGACAGAGAAGUUAUUCUUACAAAAUCAGAUAGAAAUUUCAGAGGAAUCAAGUUUGAUCCUUCCGAAAUAGCAGUGGAAAACAAAAAAAGUUAAAACGAUUUUAUGUAGAUUUAUGAGAUUGUAAAAAAUCUAGGGAUAGUCCUUUUUUAAAUUUUAUUGAAUUACUUGAUUCUAGACUUAUCCAACAUAUUGUUUUCUUGGUAACUUUUUUUCACUUAUCUUUUUAUCUCCUACACUAAAGCUGUUCGAAUAUUCCUUUUUAUUUCCUUUCAUAAUAUUUUUUCUGUUUUUGAACACUAUUAUCACUUUAAAACUUGUGGAACAAUCUUACCUUUAUUUCAUUUUUAUUUCAUACAAAAAGUUUUUAUAUACUGUCGAUAUAAUGCCAAAGUUCUGCUUGCUUUUGAUAUCAUACUUUUUAUCUAUACACAUAUCUGAAUAAAUUCUUGGAAUCCUG
Molecule: RNA transcript, 14578 nt
Organism: Mercenaria mercenaria
Lineage: Eukaryota; Metazoa; Mollusca; Bivalvia; Venerida; Veneridae
Gene name: unconventional myosin-XVI-like
Exons: 42
Source: RefSeq, a predicted model, not a curated record